Molecule: ribosomal RNA, 602 nt
Filed under: Circe rivularis
Lineage: Eukaryota; Metazoa; Mollusca; Bivalvia; Venerida; Veneridae
Description: LSU rRNA
Rfam family: Bacterial large subunit ribosomal RNA
Source: RNAcentral
GCUCCUUGAAUAAAAAGUAUAAGGAGUCGUACCUGCCCGGUGGGCUACGGCCUAAACGGCGGCAGCUAAAACUGCCCUAAGGUAGCGCAAUAAAUCGUCCUUUAAUUGGGGAAAAGUAUGAAUGGUUUGACGUGGAGCAACUGUCUCAAUUAUAUAGAGUGAAGUUUCCUUUUAAGUGAAAAGGCUUAAAUAUUUGUAAAAGAAGAGAAGACCCUAUCGAGCUUGAUUAAGUUGGGUAAUUAGAUCAGCUUAUAAAUUAUCGUAUUUGCAACGCGAUUUUUAGUUAAUUGGUUAUUUAUUAUAUUUUAACAUGUGUUAAAAUAUCAGACAAUAGAGAUUAUUCUGAGAGGUGUUUCAAUAUUUAUUUGUUAAUCUAGUCAAGCUGAAGUUUUGUUGGGGCAACAAAGAGCUAAAAAGAACGCUCUUUAGUUUAAAUGUAGAUCCUAUACGAUAGAAAAAGAGCAAAAGCUACCGUAGGGAUAACAGCGUAAUUUUUCUUUCGAGACCUUAUUGGAAGAAGAGUUUGCGACAUCGAUGUUGAAUUAGGGGUAUCUUUCGGUGCAGCCGCUGUGAGGAUGGGACUGUUCGUCCUGUUGUUCCCU